Molecule: ribosomal RNA, 459 nt
Filed under: uncultured bacterium
Lineage: Bacteria
Description: partial 16S ribosomal RNA
Rfam family: Bacterial small subunit ribosomal RNA
Source: RNAcentral
CCUACGGGUGGCUGCAGUGAGGAAUAUUGGUCAAUGGCCGCAAGGCUGAACCAGCAACGCCGCGUGAGGGAAGACGGCUCUACGGGUUGUAAACUCCUUUUGUCGGGGAGCAAAGCGAGUCACGUGUGACUCAUUGAGAGUACCCGAAGAAAAAGCAUCGGCAAACUCCGUGCCAGCAGCCGCGGUAAUACGGAGGAUGCGGAGGUUAUCCGGAUGUAUUGGGUUAAAAGGGGGCGCAGGCGGAGGUGCAAGUCGGCGGGAAAAUUGCGGGGCUAAACCCCGUACUGCCGUUGAAACUGCGUCCCUUGAGUGCGGGAGAGGUAUGCGGAAUGCGUAGUGUAGCGGUGAAAUGCAUAGAUAUCACGCAGAACUCCGGUUGCGAAGGCAGCAUACCGGAGCGCAACUGACGCUGAUGCACGAAAGCGUGGGUAUCGAACAGGAUUAGAUACCCUAGUAGUC